GACGAACGCUGGCGGCGUGCUUAACACAUGCAAGUCGAACGGAAAGGCCCUGCUUUUGUGGGGUGCUCGAGUGGCGAACGGGUGUGUAACACGUGUGUAACCUGCCCUUGACUUUCGGAUAACUUCAGGAAACUGGGGCUAAUACCGGAUAUGAGCUCCUGCUGCAUGGUGGUGGUUGGAAAGUUUCGGCGGUUGUGGAUGGACUCGCGGCUUAUCAGCUUGUUGGUGGGGUAGUGGCUUACCAAGGCUUUGACGGGUAGCCGGCCUGAGAGGGUUACCGGCCACAUUGGGACUGAGAGACGGCCCAGACUCCUACGGGAGGCAGCAGUGGGGAAUAUGACAGAAUGGGCGGAAGCCAGAGGUAGAAACGCCGCGUGCGGGAUGAUGGCCUUCGGGUUGUAAACCGAUGUCGCAUGUGACGAAGAGGGAGUGACGGUAAUGGGUAAAGAAGCACCGGCUAACUACGUG
This 468-nucleotide ribosomal RNA is filed under the name uncultured bacterium. RNAcentral describes it as "partial 16S ribosomal RNA". It matches the Rfam family "Bacterial small subunit ribosomal RNA", at positions 28 to 507 of the family's 1533-position model. The record is from RNAcentral.